GAGCGCGAAAGGGGGGCAACUCCCAAGUAGAGCGGCGAACGGGUGAGUAACGCGUGGGUAAUUUACCUCCAAGUGGGGAACAACACCGGGAAACUGGUGCUAAUACCGCAUAACAUCCUUGGGUCGUAAGAUUUGAGGAUCAAAGCUGGGGACCGCAAGGCCUAGCGCUAGGAGAGGAGCCCGCGUCCGAUUAGCUAGUUGGCGGGGUAAUGGCCCACCAAGGCUUCGAUCGGUAGCCGGCCUGAGAGGGCGGACGGCCACACUGGGACUGAGACACGGCCCAGACUCCUACGGGAGGCAGCAGUGGGGAAUUUUUCGCAAUGGGGGAAACCCUGACGAAGCAACGCCGCGUGGAGGAUGAAGGCCUUCGGGUUGUAAACUCCUGUCGACCGGGACGAAAGUAGUCCGACCUAACACGUCGGGCUAUCGACUGUACCGGUGGAGGAAGCCACGGCUAACUCUGUG
RNAcentral lists this ribosomal RNA (465 nucleotides) under uncultured bacterium. RNAcentral's name for it is "bacterial SSU rRNA". It matches the Rfam family "Bacterial small subunit ribosomal RNA", at positions 64 to 507 of the family's 1533-position model. The record is from RNAcentral.